This 433-nucleotide ribosomal RNA is filed under the name uncultured bacterium. RNAcentral describes it as "partial 16S ribosomal RNA". It matches the Rfam family "Bacterial small subunit ribosomal RNA", at positions 29 to 507 of the family's 1533-position model. The record is from RNAcentral.
AACGAACGCUGGCGGCAGGCCUAACACAUGCAAGUCGAGCGGACCUUUCGGGGUCAGCGGCGGACGGGUGAGUAACGCGUGGGAAUAUGCCCUUCUCUACGGAAUAGUCCUGGGAAACUGGGGGUAAUACCGUAUACGCCCUUUGGGGGAAAGAUUUAUCGGGGAAGGAUUAGCCCGCGUUGGAUUAGGUAGUUGGUGGGGUAAUGGCCUACCAAGCCGACGAUCCAUAGCUGGUUGGAGAGGAGGAUCAGCCACACUGGGACUGAGACACGGCCCAGACUCCUGCGGGAGGCAGCGGUGGGGAAUCUUAGACAGUGGGGGCAACCCUGAUCGAGCCAUGCCGCGUGAGUGAUGAAGGCCUUAGGGUUGUAAAGCUCUUUCAGCUGGGAAGAUAAUGACGGUACCAGCAGAAGAAGCCCCGGCUAACUCCGUG